AAGCUUGAUUCCGGUGGUGGUUGAUCCGGUGAUCGGAAAGUCGAGGAUGCUGGUUACGCCGAGUGUGAAGGAGAAGGCAAAAGAAAUCGCAGAGACGUGGAAAAAGAGCCUUGAAGAGAGAGGAGGGAUUGAGAAUGUGAAGACUCCGGAUGUUCAUACUUUUCUGCAACAUUUGGUUACGUUUGGGAUUGUUAAGAAAGAGGAUCUGGAGCUUUAUAGGAAGCUUGUUGUUGGUUCUGCCUGGAGGAAACAAAUGCCUAAACUUGCCGUUUCGCUUGGCCUCGGUGACAAAAUGCCUGGUAUUUGAUUUCUUUUGUUGAGAUGAAAUUACUUUUUUUUUUAAUGUUCUUAUUUUCUGUUAGUGAGUACUAUCAUGGAGUUUCAAACUUGUUGCAGCUUAUUACAGUAUUCUAGGAGUCGAUGGUUAUGUUUCAUUGUGAUGGUGUUUUGAAAGUGAUUAUAUUGUCUGAUUAAUUUGAUCUUGGUGUCAAAACUUUCAGAAUGAACUUAAGAGUUGUAAAGAUAAGAUUUUUAGGGUAUUUCAUGAGUUAUGUUGCUUAUAUUCGAGACUCAGUGUUAGAUACAGGCAUGUGUCUGACAUGGGAUAUGUUCAAUUUCUUUCAAAGUUUUUCCUUAUAUUUAGGGAGGAGUGAAAACUCCAUAUGCAUGUCUGUCAGAUAUUUGCUGGACAUGGGUACUCGUGCAAGAAUUAAGAGUUGGAGCAAUAGUUGACUAGCAUAAUUAAGUGACUUGUAACCUAGGAUGUUAAUUAGCUGUUGCAUGUUGCCUUAACUUGUUGGUAAGCAUGUGCUUUUUCUUUUGUAAGCCAACAUGCUUUGGAGAUGGUUCGUGUUUGUUACUUGGUGUUUUUGGAAAGUAUACGGUAUGUCUUUAGUGGAACCAUUUAAAGAACUUAUAUCUUGAUGCACUUUUACCAUUUAGGGACAUGUGGGCUGCAUGUUGUGAAGAGUGUACCUGCUGGUUUUUGUGGUUUAAAUAGAACAAGAUACUAGAACUUUAUGUUAAGAUCAGUGAAGCUAUAUGUUCAUAGGAUCUGAUAUAUAUCAAGUUGUUCGUUAAAGCCAAGGGUUGUGUUAGUUUAGUACUGGGUAAAGAGUGAAUUCCAAGGUGUAGGUAUUGUAGCCAAACAGAUGUAGCUUGCAUAAUUCUAACAAGUAAAGAUUCAUUGUCUUUUUUAAUGUCUAUAUCACCAUUUAAUCCAUAAACAUGGUCAACAUUUCAUCGAAAAACAUUGCUUAUACUGGACUGUUGUGUUUUUGGAAGCUCUCUUAUGGGUUUUUACCAUUUGUGCUCAAAAUCAUUCCAUUAAGGUACAAUUGUAAAAUUGAGUUUCUAAUGCAUUUAAUUCUCCACUACAGACAUGAUUGAAGAAUUGGUCAGUAAGGGACAGCAGCUUGAUGCAGUUCAUUUCACUUAUGAAGUUGGCCUUGUAGACAAGUUCCCUCCUGUACCCCUGCUCAAAGCUUUCCUGAGGGAUGCAAAGAAAGCUGCGUCUUCUAUUUU
This 1524-nucleotide long non-coding RNA is filed under the name Theobroma cacao (cacao). RNAcentral describes it as "long non-coding RNA (TCAC_LNC002732)". The record is from RNAcentral. Lineage: Eukaryota; Viridiplantae; Streptophyta; Magnoliopsida; Malvales; Malvaceae.